This 369-nucleotide long non-coding RNA is filed under the name Homo sapiens (human). RNAcentral describes it as "non-protein coding lnc-TRAP1-4:1". The record is from RNAcentral. Lineage: Eukaryota; Metazoa; Chordata; Mammalia; Primates; Hominidae.
UCUGUUUUCCUGUGGGUGCUUUUCCUAAUGAACCGUUGUGGGUACAUUUACAGGGAUGAAUUCAUUUAACCCCAUGUCCUUGGGGAACGUCCAGUUGCCACAAGCACCCAUGGGACCUCGUGCAGCCUCCCCAAUGAACCACUCUGUCCAGAUGAACAGCAUGGGCUCAGUGCCAGGGAUGGCCAUUUCUCCUUCCCGAAUGCCUCAGCCUCCGAACAUGAUGGGUGCACACACCAACAACAUGAUGGCCCAGGCGCCCGCUCAGAGCCAGUUUCUGCCACAGAACCAGUUCCCGUCAUCCAGCGGGGCGAUGAGUGUGGGCAUGGGGCAGCCGCCAGCCCAAACAGGCGUGUCACAGGUACUGUGCCC